UAGAGUUUGAUCAUGGCUCAGAUUGAACGCUGGCGGCAUGCUUUACACAUGCAAGUCGAACGGUAACAGGUCUUCGGAUGCUGACGAGUGGCGAACGGGUGAGUAAUACAUCGGAACGUGCCUAGUAGUGGGGGAUAACUACUCGAAAGAGUAGCUAAUACCGCAUGACAUCUAAGGAUGAAAGCAGGGGACCUUCGGGCCUUGUGCUACUAGAGCGGCUGAUGGCAGAUUAGGUAGUUGGUGGGAUAAAAGCUUACCAGCCGACGAUCUGUU
RNAcentral lists this ribosomal RNA (273 nucleotides) under uncultured Comamonas sp. RNAcentral describes it as "partial 16S ribosomal RNA". It matches the Rfam family "Bacterial small subunit ribosomal RNA", at positions 1 to 285 of the family's 1533-position model. The record is from RNAcentral. Lineage: Bacteria; Pseudomonadati; Pseudomonadota; Betaproteobacteria; Burkholderiales; Comamonadaceae.